UACGUAGGGUGCAAGCGUUAAUCGGAAUUACUGGGCGUAAAGCGUGCGCAGGCGGUGAUGUAAGACAGAGGUGAAAUCCCCGGGCUCAACCUGGGAACUGCCUUUGUGACUGCAUCGCUGGAGUGCGGCAGAGGGGGAUGGAAUUCCGCGUGUAGCAGUGAAAUGCGUAGAUAUGCGGAGGAACACCGAUGGCGAAGGCAAUCCCCUGGGCCUGCACUGACGCUCAUGCACGAAAGCGUGGGGAGCAAACAGG
Molecule: ribosomal RNA, 253 nt
Filed under: uncultured bacterium
Lineage: Bacteria
Description: partial 16S ribosomal RNA
Rfam family: Bacterial small subunit ribosomal RNA
Source: RNAcentral